RNAcentral lists this ribosomal RNA (278 nucleotides) under uncultured bacterium. RNAcentral describes it as "partial 16S ribosomal RNA". It matches the Rfam family "Bacterial small subunit ribosomal RNA", at positions 76 to 353 of the family's 1533-position model. The record is from RNAcentral.
UUGCUUUCUUUGCUGGCGACCGGCGCACGGGUGAGUAACACGUAUCCAACCUGCCCUUUACUCGGGGAUAGCCUUUCGAAAGAAAGAUUAAUACCCGAUGGCAUAAUGAUUCCGCAUGGUUUCAUUAUUAAAGGAUUCCGGUAAAGGAUGGGGAUGCGUUCCAUUAGGUUGUUGGUGAGGUAACGGCUCACCAAGCCUUCGAUGGAUAGGGGUUCUGAGAGGAAGGUCCCCCACAUUGGAACUGAGACACGGUCCAAACUCCUACGGGAGGCAGCAUG